RNAcentral lists this ribosomal RNA (429 nucleotides) under Chloroflexota bacterium. Its description in RNAcentral is "Chloroflexi bacterium partial 16S ribosomal RNA". It matches the Rfam family "Bacterial small subunit ribosomal RNA", at positions 355 to 776 of the family's 1533-position model. The record is from RNAcentral. Lineage: Bacteria; Bacillati; Chloroflexota.
UGGGGAAUAUUGCACAAUGGGCGCAAGCCCGAUGCAGCCAUGCCGCGUGUGUGAAGAAGGCUUUCGGGUUGUAAAGCAUUUUCAGCGGGGAGGAAGGCGUUAAGGUUAAUAACCUUGGCGAUUGACGUUACCCGCAGAAGAAGCACCGGCUAACUCCGUGCCAGCAGCCGCGGUAAUACGGAGGGUGCAAGCGUUAAUCGGAAUUACUGGGCGUAAAGCGCACGCAGGAGGUCUGUCAAGUCGGAUGUGAAAUCCCCGGGCUCAACCUGGGAACUGCAUUCGAGACUGGCAGGCUAGAGUCUUGUAGAGGGGGGUGGAAUUCCAGGUGUAGCGGUGAAAAGCGUAGAGAUGUGGAGGAAUACCGGUGGCGAAGACGGCCCCCUGGACAAAGACUGACGCUCAGGUGCGAAAGCGUGGGGAGCAAACAGG